This is a non-coding RNA of Gossypium hirsutum (cotton), 105 nucleotides long. Lineage: Eukaryota; Viridiplantae; Streptophyta; Magnoliopsida; Malvales; Malvaceae. The record is from Rfam.
AGUCCAUAGUGUAAGCACUUCCUUAGAUUGUCUUAAAAUGCUCCCAUGCCUCGUAAAGGGUUUCACCUUUGUAUUGUUUAAAAUUAGUUAUUUCUUGCCGAAGUU